This 465-nucleotide ribosomal RNA is filed under the name uncultured bacterium. Its description in RNAcentral is "partial 16S ribosomal RNA". It matches the Rfam family "Bacterial small subunit ribosomal RNA", at positions 28 to 507 of the family's 1533-position model. The record is from RNAcentral.
GACGAACGCUGGCGGCGUGCUUAACACAUGCAAGUCGAACGGAAAGGCCCCUUUGGGGGUACUCGAGUGGCGAACGGGUGAGUAACACGUGAGUAACCUGCCCUUGACUUCGGGAUAACUUCAGGAAACUGGGGCUAAUACCGGAUAGGAAUCCUUGCUGCAUGGUGGGGGUUGGAAAGCUUCGGCGGUUUUGGAUGGACUCGCGGCUUAUCAGCUUGUUGGUGGGGUAGUGGCUUACCAAGGCUUUGACGGGUAGCCGGCCUGAGAGGGCGACCGGCCACAGUGGGACUGAGAUACGGCCCAGACUCCGACGGGAGGCAGCAGUGGGGGAUAUUGCACAAUGGGCGGAAGCCUGAUGCAGCAACGCCGCGUGCGGGAUGACGGCCUUCGGGUUGUAAUCCGCUUUCAGCAGGGGCGAAGCUUGUGGUGACGGUACCUGCAGAAGAAGCACCGGCUAACUACGUG